Molecule: transfer RNA, 71 nt
Filed under: Camelus ferus (Wild Bactrian camel)
Lineage: Eukaryota; Metazoa; Chordata; Mammalia; Artiodactyla; Camelidae
Rfam family: tRNA
About the family: Transfer RNA (tRNA) molecules are approximately 80 nucleotides in length. Their secondary structure includes four short double-helical elements and three loops (D, anti-codon, and T loops).
Source: Rfam by way of RNAcentral
GGGGGUGAGCCCAGUGGUAGAGUAUGUGCCUAACAUGCACGAGGUCCUGGGUUCAAUCCCCAGUACCUCCA